Long non-coding RNA from Ipomoea nil (Japanese morning glory), 907 nucleotides. RefSeq lists it as uncharacterized. The transcript has 3 exons. NCBI's taxonomy places the organism in Eukaryota, Viridiplantae, Streptophyta, Magnoliopsida, Solanales, Convolvulaceae. The record is from RefSeq and is a predicted model, not a curated record.
UCAUAACUGAAGCUGGGAGUGUUAGAUCGAGGUGAUUCAGGUGGCCAUGGAUCGGCAUCGAAAAUAUCUACAACUUUCGUGAAGACGAUGAAGGCUAAUUCGGACAUCUCGGCGGUCAAAAUCAGCGAUGAUCGCGUCAGAAUUCCCAAUCACGCCCACUGUCACGGAAUGAGGGCAUGUGAAUGGGAAUUAAAAGGGGAGUGGCGUGGUUUUUAGGCUAGAAAUGAGAUCUGAAAAUUAUUCGUCAUCAUUCACUUGGUAAUCUUCAUCUCUCUAGAAUUUUAGGGUUAGAGGAGGAUUCUAGGGAGAGAAGUUAGAUCUACAAUAACAAACAUCUAUUUUCACUAGAUUUGGCUAGAAGAGUUGGAGAUUGAAGGCAUUUGGCAACGGAUCUCCAUCAUUUGCUUGUAUUUGACGGAUCUAAUCUUCCAUUUGGUUUAUAGAUAGAUGCGGAAAACAGAGUUUACUUCACAAAAGAGCUUGAUAGGAUAACUGGUCAGAUGCUUUAGGGAUUACACUUGCAGCAUAUAUGGACAACCCUUGUGUAUAUGUUGGGUGUAUGAAAUCAGGAGCAGUUUUUUCUGAGCAGUAAGUUGACAGGAAAAUUUGCUCAGUAAUUAAUGUUUAGAAUCUUAGCAUCUGCAUAAGUGUUUGAUCUCAUCUGUGAUUCUUUUUAAUAAAUAUUUAAAGACUUGCCCCAUCAGGGGCCAUAAAUGGUAUGAACCAGAUUGGUGGAAAUUUGGUGAUGGAAAAUCGUAAGCCACAAUUUGACACUAUUGUCUGUUGAAUUUCCAUUUGGCAGCCAACUGUAAUGCCAUUUGUGAUUAUUCUCUGUUCUAUAUCCUUGUUGGAUUUGUGUAAAAUUUUUGCAGGAUAUAUUACUCAAAUUAGAUAUUAGUUUGGGCAA